UGGGGAAUAUUGGACAAUGGGGGCAACCCUGAUCCAGCCAUGCCGCGUGCGUGAAGAAGGCCUUAGGGUUGUAAAGCGCUUUCAGCGGGGACGAUGAUGACGGUACCCGCAGAAGAAGCCCCGGCUAACUCCGUGCCAGCAGCCGCGGUAAUACGGAGGGGGCAAGCGUUGUUCGGAAUUACUGGGCGUAAAGGGCGCGUAGGCGGCUGCUUAAGUCGAGGGUGAAAGCCCGGGGCUCAACCUCGGAACGGCCUUCGAGACUGGGCGGCUAGAGAUCGGAAGAGGAGGGUGGAAUACCCAGUGUAGAGGUGAAAUUCGUAGAUAUUGGGUGGAACACCAGUGGCGAAAGCGGCUCUCUGGUCCGGAUCUGACGCUGAGGCGCGAAAGCGUGGGGAGCAAACAGGAUUAGAUACCCCCGUAGUCC
RNAcentral lists this ribosomal RNA (424 nucleotides) under uncultured prokaryote. RNAcentral describes it as "bacterial SSU rRNA". It matches the Rfam family "Bacterial small subunit ribosomal RNA", at positions 355 to 796 of the family's 1533-position model. The record is from RNAcentral.